RNAcentral lists this ribosomal RNA (253 nucleotides) under uncultured bacterium. Its description in RNAcentral is "partial 16S ribosomal RNA". It matches the Rfam family "Bacterial small subunit ribosomal RNA", at positions 524 to 776 of the family's 1533-position model. The record is from RNAcentral.
UACAGAGGGGGCAAGCGUUGUUCGGAAUUACUGGGCGUAAAGGGCGCGUAGGCGGCCUUCUAAGUCGAACGUGAAAUCCCCGGGCUCAACCCGGGAACUGCGUCCGAUACUGGAAGGCUAGAAUCCGGGAGAGGGAUGCGGAAUUCCAGGUGUAGCGGUGAAAUGCGUAGAUAUCUGGAGGAACACCGGUGGCGAAGGCGGCAUCCUGGACCGGUAUUGACGCUGAGGCGCGAAAGCGUGGGGAGCGAACAGG